Non-coding RNA from Cherax quadricarinatus, 411 nucleotides. The record is from RefSeq and is a predicted model, not a curated record. NCBI's taxonomy places the organism in Eukaryota, Metazoa, Arthropoda, Malacostraca, Decapoda, Parastacidae.
CCCCCCACGGGUUGAGCGCCCCACCAUGAGUAGUACUGAUAGUUAUGGUGUAGUACUGCCAUCUAGUGGUGGUAGUCAGAGUUAGUCAGGUUAUCAGUGAUAGUGUUAUAGUGAAGGUCAGGACAGUGACCAACCUCAAGGGCACUGAAGGUCAGUUGAACUUUAAUGGUAGUACAGGAGAGGUGUGUUGCUCCUCCUCCUGCCGCCCCGCCGGCUUUACCGCUUUCUCAUCCUUUUAAUACACCUAAAUAACGUGUGGUAACUGAGGAGUGCUGUGCCUGGCUGUGUCUGCUGCAACAUUGAUCAACACAGCAGCAGUCUGAGGGGUGGAGACAAUCAUACAAGUAAAUGGUCUGACCCAUAGCAUUUAGUGUUAUAUGGAGAUGCAGCAGUUGGAGACGUCUUAAGAGG